GGAGGGGUGCAAGCGUUGUUCGGAAUUACUGGGCGUAAAAGCGCGUGUAGGGCGGCUUGGGUAGGUCGGGAUGUGAAAGCCCGAGGCUCAACCUCGGAAUUGCAUCCGAAACUGCCCUCGCUAGAGUCCCGGAGAGGAAGGCAGAAUUCCCAGUGUAGGGGUGAAAUCCGUAGAUAUUGGGAGGAAUACCAGUGGCGAAGGCGGCCUUCUGGACGGUGACUGACGCUCAGACGCGAAAGCGUGGGUAGCAAACAGGAUUAGAUACCCUGGUAGUCCACGCUGUAAACGUUGUGCACUAGGUGUCGGGGGUAUUCACCCCUCCGGUGCCGCCGCUAACGCAUUAAGUGCACCGCCUGGGGAGUACGGCCGCAAGGCUA
This 377-nucleotide ribosomal RNA is filed under the name uncultured organism. RNAcentral describes it as "partial 16S ribosomal RNA". It matches the Rfam family "Bacterial small subunit ribosomal RNA", at positions 526 to 896 of the family's 1533-position model. The record is from RNAcentral.